RNAcentral lists this ribosomal RNA (1048 nucleotides) under uncultured Rhodocyclaceae bacterium. Its description in RNAcentral is "bacterial SSU rRNA". It matches the Rfam family "Bacterial small subunit ribosomal RNA", at positions 8 to 1048 of the family's 1533-position model. Lineage: Bacteria; Pseudomonadati; Pseudomonadota; Betaproteobacteria; Rhodocyclales; Rhodocyclaceae. The record is from RNAcentral.
AGAGUUUGAUCCUGGCUCAGAAUGAACGCUGGCGGCAUGCCUUACACAUGCAAGUCGAACGGCAGCAUGACCUAGCUUGCUAGGUUGAUGGCGAGUGGCGAACGGGUGAGUAAUGCAUCGGAACGUGCCUUUUAGUGGGGGAUAACGUAGCGAAAGUUACGCUAAUACCGCAUAUUCUCUGAGGAGGAAAGCAGGGGACCUUCGGGCCUUGCGCUAGAAGAGCGGCCGAUGUCGGAUUAGCUAGUUGGUGAGGUAAAGGCUCACCAAGGCAACGAUCCGUAGCGGGUCUGAGAGGAUGAUCCGCCACACUGGGACUGAGACACGGCCCAGACUCCUACGGGAGGCAGCAGUGGGGAAUUUUGGACAAUGGGCGCAAGCCUGAUCCAGCCAUGCCGCGUGAGUGAAGAAGGCCUUCGGGUUGUAAAGCUCUUUCGGCUGGGAAGAAAUCGCACUCUCUAAUACAGGGUGUGGAUGACGGUACCAGCAUAAGAAGCACCGGCUAACUACGUGCCAGCAGCCGCGGUAAUACGUAGGGUGCGAGCGUUAUUCGGAAUUACUGGGCGUAAAGCGUGCGCAGGCGGUUGUGUAAGACAGACGUGAAAUCCCCGGGCUCAACCUGGGAACUGCGUUUGUGACUGCACGGCUAGAGUACGGCAGAGGGGGGUGGAAUUCCACGUGUAGCAGUGAAAUGCGUAGAGAUGUGGAGGAACACCGAUGGCGAAGGCAGCCCCCUGGGCCAGUACUGACGCUCAUGCACGAAAGCGUGGGGAGCAAACAGGAUUAGAUACCCUGGUAGUCCACGCCCUAAACGAUGUCAACUAGCUGUUGGUGGGGUUAAACCCAUUAGUAGCGUAGCUAACGCGUGAAGUUGACCGCCUGGGGAGUACGGCCGCAAGGUUAAAACUCAAAGGAAUGACGGGACCCCACAGCGGGGAUGAUGGGUUUAAUUCGAUGCAACGCGAAGAACCUUACUACCUCUGACACCAGGAGACUUAGCAAAGAAAUGCUUUGGGGCUUUCGGGAACUCUUAAAAACAAGUGCUGCAUGG